Molecule: long non-coding RNA, 2044 nt
Organism: Danio aesculapii
Lineage: Eukaryota; Metazoa; Chordata; Actinopteri; Cypriniformes; Danionidae
Exons: 3
Source: RefSeq, a predicted model, not a curated record
GAGAGAAACAAACACACACACAAACAAACACACCUGCCAACGCAACACCCCCACCCAUUUAAGUCAAAAAGUUUAAUUCUUUUUGACAAUUAACACCAGAAAACAAACAAACACAUAUCAAGCCCUUGAAAGGGCAUCGGCAAUAACGUUUUCUGUACCCUUCUUGUGGCGGAUGUCAAUGUUAAAACCUUGCACUACUAAUGACCACCUCAUUAGUCUCUGAUUGGAGUUGGCCAUGCGCUGGAGAAAAACCAGAGGGUUGUGGUCAGUGUAAAUCACGACAGGUAAGUUGCUACCACCCACGUAAAUUUCAAAGUGCUGGAGGGCAAGAAGUAACGCUAGGGCCUCUUUCUCGAUUGUGCUGUAACGCUGUUGUGUUUUUGAAAAUUUCUUUGAGAAAUAGCACACAGGAUGAUCAACUCCAUUUUCACCCUCUUGGAGCAGCACUGCCCCAGCUCCCAAUGCACUGGCAUCAACUUCUAUUUUAAAGGGGUCAGUGAGAGGGGAAACAACGGAGGAAAAGUUUUUACAGAAACUCCUGUAAUAGCCCACCAUACCAAGGAACCGACGUAAUUCUCGUUUGGUGGUGGGGGCGGGGAAAUGAACAAUAGCCUCCACUUUGGCUUCGAUCGGGCGCACCUGUCCUUGUCCGACCUGCUUACCCAAGUAAGUGACCACAGCUUUAGCGAAUUCGCAUUUUUUUAAAUUCACAGUUAAAGAGGCUUCACUUAAGCGGGUGAACACUAAACGCAGGGUUCUCAUGUGGUCGUUCCAAGACUUGGAAUAAAUCACGACAUCAUCAAGAUAUGCCUCGCAAUUUGUAACACCGGAUAAAACUCUCUGCAUCAACCUUUGAAAGGUUGCUGGAGCGUUUCGCAUCCCGAAGGCCAUCACGGUGUAUUGCAGAAAAUUAUCCGGCGUUACAAACGCGGAAACAUCUGAAGCCCUCUGCGUCAGUGGUACCUGCCAAAAGCCCUUCAAUAAAUCAAGCUUAGUCACAAACAAAGCAGCACCUACGCGAUCUAUACAGUCCUCCAUUCUGGGCAACGGAAAGGAGUCUGGUCUGGUCACACUGUUCACUCUCCUGUAAUCCGUACAGAAUCUGUACGAGCCGUCCGGCUUGGAGACGAGCAAACACGGCGAGCUCCACGGGCUGCUGCUGGGUAUCACCAAACCGUUCGCCAGCAGGUAAUCUACCUCCUUCCUCAUCUCCUCUCUCUUUACAGGGUUAAGUCUGUACGGGUGUUGUUUUAGAGGUGGCGAAUUAAUAAUUUCAAUAUCAUGAAAUAAAACAUGAGUCUGACUUGGCACAUCUGAAAAGAGAGAGGAGAAUUCACAGAUCAAGGAAACGACAUCCCUGCGCUGUGAAUAAGGGAGGUAUGCCAAUUGGUUUUCAAUGUCAUUUAAAAAUUCCGAAUUGCACAAUUUCGGUGGCGUGGUCAUUAUUUCUGAAACCCUCAACCCGUCCUCCUCAGAAUCCACAACAGGAGACGGAGGAGCGCACGCCAACACUGGCGCUGUUUCAGAAAGAGGCUUAUCUGUGGCGGUUCUAUCCACGGCCCUGAGAAGCGAGCAUGGAGUGCAGAGCCUGGCAGCGGAAGAAAAACCAGCACCAAAUCUCCUGGUUGAAAGCUUCGCGCAACAGCCUUUCUGUCAAAUAAUUUUUUCAUGUGAGCUUGUUUGGAUGACAAAUUUAUUUUUGCCAUUUCCCACACACGAUUUAAACGCUCACGCAUUUGAGUCACGUACUCACAAACGUUAACUGGAGAUUUCUUCUCCGAUAACAGCUGCUCUCUCAACAGCUUUAGGGGUCCGCGGACGGAGAACCCGAAAAUUAACUCAGCAGGGCUGUAUCCUACAGAUUCCUGUACGGUCUCGCGAAUGGCAAACAUCAGCAUCGGCAACCCCUCAUCCCAGUCCUUCCCCGUUUCCACACAGAACGCGCGCAGCAUGGACUUAAGGGUCUGGUGGAAACGUUCCAGCGCGCCCUGCGACUCGGGAUGAUAGGCGCUCGAUAGCUGGUGUUUGAUGGCAAGCUCACUGA